UUCCUUGUCAGGUAAACUGAGGCUGGGCGGGCUGCCGACCAAGGUCACGCCUGGGGCAGCAGCAAGGCUGAGCUUGAACCCGCUGCCUGGACUACUUGAAUGGCUUUGAUUCACGGCUCACGAGUGAUCCGGGAGAGAGAUUGGGCUAUCCUAUUAUUUGAAGCAGAAAACAAGCCAUCCUGUCACUGACAGCCUCGGAAACUGUGCCUCUAUGUUGAGGUCAGAAGAGGGUAUCGAAUCCCCUGGAACUGGAGAUGGUUGUAAUCAACAGUGUUCUGCCUGCAUGUAUGCCUGCAUGCCAGAAGAGGGCACCAGAUCUCAUUACAGAUGGUUGUGACCCACCAUGUGGUUGUUGGGAAUUGAACUCAGGACCUCUGGAAGAGCAGCCAGUGCUCUUAACUGCUGAGCCAUCUCUCCAGCUCAAGAAAAAUUUUUUUAAAUAAAAAAAAGAAAGAAGAUAUGAGAAUACAAAGGAAUAGAGUAUA
Molecule: long non-coding RNA, 485 nt
Organism: Peromyscus californicus insignis
Lineage: Eukaryota; Metazoa; Chordata; Mammalia; Rodentia; Cricetidae
Exons: 3
Source: RefSeq, a predicted model, not a curated record